GAUGAACGCUAGCGGGAGGCCUAACACAUGCAAGCCGAGCGGUAUUGUUUCUUCGGAAAUGCGAGAGCGGCGUACGGGUGCGUAACACGUGUGCAACCUGCCUUUAUCUGGGGGAUAGCCUUUCGAAAGGAAGAUUAAUACUCCAUAAUAUAUUGAACGGCAUCGUUUAAUAUUGAAAGCUCCGGCGGAUAGAGAUGGGCACGCGCAAGAUUAGCUAGUUGGUGAGGUAACGGCUCACCAAGGCGAUGAUCUUUAGGGGGCCUGAGAGGGUGAUCCCCCACACUGGUACUGAGACACGGACCAGACUCCUACGGGAGGCAGCAGUGAGGAAUAUUGGUCAAUGGGUGCAAGCCUGAACCAGCCAUCCCGCGUGAAGGACGACUGCCCUAUGGGUUGUAAACUUCUUUUGGAUAGGGAUAAACCUACCCUCGAGAGGGUAGCUGAAGGUACUAUACGAAUAAGCACCGGCUAACUCCGUG
Molecule: ribosomal RNA, 479 nt
Filed under: uncultured bacterium
Lineage: Bacteria
Description: partial 16S ribosomal RNA
Rfam family: Bacterial small subunit ribosomal RNA
Source: RNAcentral